Molecule: ribosomal RNA, 533 nt
Filed under: Kassina schioetzi
Lineage: Eukaryota; Metazoa; Chordata; Amphibia; Anura; Hyperoliidae
Description: partial large subunit ribosomal RNA
Rfam family: Bacterial large subunit ribosomal RNA
Source: RNAcentral
GCCUGCCCUGUGACUCAGUUUAACGGCCGCGGUACCUUAACCGUGCAAAGGUAGCACAAUCAAUCGUCCUCUAAAUAGGGACUAGUAUGAAUGGCUUCACGAGGGCCUAACUGUCUCCCCUCUUUAAUCAAUGAAACUGAUCUUCUCGUGAAGAAGCGAGAAUAAAAAUAUAAGACGAGAAGACCCUAUGGAGCUUUAAACCCAUCAUCACCUGCCCUUAUUAUAUCAGAAUAAAUAGCAGCCCUGCUACUAGAUGGUUUUCGGCUGGGGUGGCCCUGGAGUAAAACAAACCCUCCAGACUGAAUGGUUUAAACCCUAAUCUAAGAAUUACUAUUCAAAGAAUCAAUAUUUUGACAUAAUUGACCCAAUAAUUGAUCAACGAACCAAGUUACCCUAGGGAUAACAGCGCAAUCCAUUUCAAGAGCCCCUAUCGACAAAUGGGUUUACGACCUCGAUGUUGGAUCGGGAUAUCCUAGCGGCGCAGCCGCUGCUAAAGGUUCGUUUGUUCAACGAUUAAUAAUCCCACGUGAUCU